Long non-coding RNA from Gopherus flavomarginatus (Mexican gopher tortoise), 474 nucleotides. RefSeq lists it as uncharacterized. NCBI's taxonomy places the organism in Eukaryota, Metazoa, Chordata, Testudines, Testudinidae. The record is from RefSeq and is a predicted model, not a curated record. The transcript is spliced from 3 exons.
GUGGCCCCAACAUCGCCGCAACCACCUUCUGCGGCGGCGGCUCAGGGGCCAAGCGCUCCCUGGCCAGUGCAGCAGGCGGGGGGAGGCGAAAGGGCCCCUGCGCCUUUAAGGCCACCUGGCUGGCGAGCCCCGCGUAGAGUGCACCGAGCGCAGGCCGGGGACAGGCGGCGGUGCAGGACGGAAGAUUAUGCAGAAAACCAAGAAACAAUUCUGACCAAAUCAGGGAAAGAAAAUAAAAGCCAUUGAAAUGAGUGAGAUUUCAAAGUAAAUGAGAUAAAGAAAAUGAAUUUGAGGAUGUGGAAAAUUCAGAGAAAGCUGUCUGAGGAUUCAGAGACUGGAGAUAAUGCUGCCCGCUUCUUGUUUACAAUGUCACCUGAAAGUGAGAACAGGCGUUCGCGUGGUGCUGUUGUAGCCGGCGUUGCAAGGUAUUUAUGUGCCAGAUGCGCUAAAGAUUCACAUGUCCCUUCACACUUC